RNAcentral lists this ribosomal RNA (364 nucleotides) under Terebellides stroemii. RNAcentral describes it as "SSU rRNA". It matches the Rfam family "Eukaryotic small subunit ribosomal RNA", at positions 564 to 932 of the family's 1831-position model. The record is from RNAcentral. Lineage: Eukaryota; Metazoa; Annelida; Polychaeta; Terebellida; Trichobranchidae.
GUGCCAGCAGCCGCGGUAAUUCCAGCUCCAAUAGCGUAUAUUAAAGUUGUUGCAGUUAAAAAGCUCGUAGUUGGAUCUCGGGUCCGGGCUCGCGGUCCACCUCGCGGUGGUUACUGCCCGUCCCGACCUACCUACCGGUUUUCCCUUGGUGCUCUUAACUGAGUGUCUCGGGUGGCCGGAACGUUUACUUUGAAAAAAUUAGAGUGUUCAAAGCAGGCGCUUCGCCUGAAUAAUGUUGCAUGGAAUAAUGGAAUAGGACCUCGGUUCUAUUUUGUUGGUUUUCGGAACUUGAGGUAAUGAUUAAGAGGGACAGACGGGGGCAUUCGUAUGAUGGUGUUAGAGGUGAAAUUCUUGGAUCGCCGUC